CCUACGGGAGGCAGCAGUGAGGAAUAUUGGUCAAUGGACGGAAGCCUGAACCAGCCAAGUAGCGUGCAGGAUGACGGCCCUCCGGGUUGUAAACUGCUUUUAUUCGGGAAUAACGCGCCUUACGUGUAUGGCUUUGCGUGUACCGUAUGAGUAAGGACCGGCGAAUUCCGUGCCAGCAGCCGCGGUAAUACGUAGGGGGCACGCGUUAUCCGGAUUUAAUGGGUGUAAAGGGAGCGUAGACGGUGUAGCAAGUCUGAUGUGAAAGGCCGGGGCCCAACCCCGGGAAUGCAGUGGAAACUGGUGAACUGGAGUACAGGAGAGGUAAGCGGAAUUCCUAGUGUAGCGGUGAAAUGCGUAGAUAUUAGGAGGAACACCAGUGGCGAAGGCGGCUUACUGGACUGUAACUGACGUUGAGGCUCGAAAGCGUGGGGAGCAAACAGGAUUAGAUACCCCAGUAGUC
Molecule: ribosomal RNA, 460 nt
Filed under: uncultured bacterium
Lineage: Bacteria
Description: partial 16S ribosomal RNA
Rfam family: Bacterial small subunit ribosomal RNA
Source: RNAcentral